UAUUAUUUUAGAGGGGUGACUUUCCCGGUGAUCAAGGUGGCACGAGUUCACUAUUGUUUAACGAUUCAACAUUGUUUUUAGCUGUUGCGUGAGUGACGGGAGGAUUGAACGAUUUUUAAUUAGUGACAGGAGAAACGGGGAUUCGAAUGAGGGUCGGGAAUAUCCCAGGAAGCCGUGCCCUAUUAUGUAUUAUUGAACCAGUGCAAUUGAAAAUUUUGGCAUUCGUUCAUAUUCAGGGAGACGUGGCAUCACGAUUGAUAGCACAUAAUGAAUGAGGAAAAUCGAUUCAUCGGGACGUUUCGAUUGACAAUAUUUUUUUCAACUCAGAGGAAAAAAGCUCUCUAUCCACUGUGGCAAUAUCUGACUAUCAAAAGUCUAUCGAAAUAUGACUUCUCUACGUUCCAAGGAAUAAAAUUAUUACCGAAGAAUAAGAGCUUUGACUUCAACAGGAGAUGUGAAGCCUUUCGAUAUGUUUCAUGAAAAAAACAUUCUGAAUUCAAAGUUAAUGGUUCUUAUGGCUUAUCAGUCCAAUGACGUACCCAUUCCAGAUCCACAAAUGAUUCCUAUCUUCGGCCUGACGCUGACACGAUCCAGUAGAUACUGAGCGGACUCCAGCAGCAUUUCAAAACUGUAGCUGUAACAGAGAAACGUAGAAAAAACCAUCAACCAAAAGGGAGACUGAAAAGUGUUCAUUCACGGUAAAAUCCCACCGCAUUGAGCCACCCGGUGUAUUCUCCAUUUGUACAGCUAGUGACUACUGAUUCUGACUGUUUUCGCAAAACAAUUGGCUUCGAUUUUAUGACUGAACGAUCUCGCUGAAUAGCUCUUUCACCGGAAACGGGUCACAUGGUUCCCAUGCAAUUUUGCCAAACCCAUAGUUGAAAUGUCAGUGGUUAGACGACACAUACAGCUCCACUGCGCAAUGUAAAACAAUGAAAAUGUAUUGGUGCGUGUUUCCGUACUUGAACGAGUAACACUGUUGUGACACUGUAUCCUCAUAUUAGUGCAUACCUCUGCCCGAUAUGAGAAAGCUUGCAUGAGGUAUAUUCCCUAUAUUAUCCACCAUGCAGUAGAACUCGGAGGAAACACAUAAACGUGUAAUGUUUCAAGUUGGUUGGUACACGUGUGAGUGUUGGAAAUCGUUGGUACCCAGGAAACAAGCCAGAUAGUGGCACUAGCGGAAGAAGGGCGCUCUGUGCCCCCUCGACAAUAUCAAGGUAAAGGAGGAGAAUAGUGUAACUGUCACUCCCCUCGAGCAGUUCAAUUCCACCUACAGCUUUAAUCAUCUCGAAAGGUUCUGUCUGAACAACUGUUUUCAUUAGUACAACUUGCUCAGUCUCAUUGCAUUUAUUACGCUCGCUGUCUCAUUGAGUCAUCGAAAUCAAUUUCAGGGAAUCAUUUUUGGAAAUUUUUACAAAAUCUCACAACAAAUUUAACAAACAUUCAAUUUUUUUGUGUAAAUAGAAUAAUAUAAUUUUAUAGGAGUACUUUGUGUUAGAUAAAAUCCCAGGACUUCAGGCGGGUCAAGCAUGUCUAGCCAUUGCUUCGCUUUUACUACUUGCAGGUGUCUGUGUCUCGUCUGAUCUAAUCUUCCUCUUAUCGAGCUGGGAGUGUAGAGAGCAGAUUGACGAUUCUUCUGGGAAAAUCUUCAUACAUUUGGGCAUAUUUGUGUCUUCUGCUCAGCCAAGCAAACCAGGAGUUCAGAGGAAUGCGAGCUAUACAAGAUAAAAAACGAUUAUCAAUACAGUGUUUUCUGAAUCAUCAUAUGAUUGUAUGUCUGCACUAACCUCGGAUUACUACUCAAGUUUCAUCGCGAUUCAAUCCUGACUUAUCAUAGGGAAUU
This is a long non-coding RNA of Diachasmimorpha longicaudata, 1843 nucleotides long. RefSeq lists it as uncharacterized. The record is from RefSeq and is a predicted model, not a curated record. The transcript has 3 exons. Lineage: Eukaryota; Metazoa; Arthropoda; Insecta; Hymenoptera; Braconidae.